GCUCCCAUAGCUCAGUGGAUAGAGCACUUGUUUCCUAAACCAGGGGUCGCACGUUCGAGUCGUGCUGGGAGCGCCA
This 76-nucleotide transfer RNA is filed under the name Myxococcales bacterium. Its description in RNAcentral is "tRNA-Arg". It matches the Rfam family "tRNA". From Rfam's summary of the family: Transfer RNA (tRNA) molecules are approximately 80 nucleotides in length. The record is from RNAcentral. Lineage: Bacteria; Pseudomonadati; Myxococcota; Myxococcia; Myxococcales.